Non-coding RNA from Tribolium castaneum (red flour beetle), 92 nucleotides. The record is from RefSeq and is marked provisional. Lineage: Eukaryota; Metazoa; Arthropoda; Insecta; Coleoptera; Tenebrionidae.
UUUUUGCUCCCAAGGUCCCGCCACUAGGUCGCAUAACACGCAUUGUCAACACCGUGUGAUGUGACGUAGUGGUAUGUCUAGGGGAGUUGCCU